UCUUCAUGUGGCCCCUCAACCCCCGGCUUUUAAUUAGGCUGAGGCUGUUGCAUUAGGCUCAGAUUUUUAUUGUUGACCUCUGCUGGGCCCACCUGUACUCCCAUCUCUGGCUUUUUUCCCUACAAUUUCUUUUCCUUUUUACAAUAUCCCUGUCAACCAUUUUCUUAACCAUUUGCUGGAUGCAAACUUUGACAGUCGUCUUCUUGUAAGAUUGUGAGUCUCAACUCCAGAGAACCAUGUCUCGAAGCGGAGGAGGAAGAGGAAAACAGUGGCUGCCAUCAGAACUGCAAGGCCUACCAGUUAUGGCCAAGGCUUCCUGCAGCGACUUGAUUUGAAGAGUUCAUCAAGAGGAGCUGUAGCCAAAGAGACCAAGAUGGGAGUGAUGUCAUCUUUUGGUGUCGUCUUCUGCUACAUCUGUGGGGUGAAGGAUG
RNAcentral lists this long non-coding RNA (431 nucleotides) under Sus scrofa (pig). Its description in RNAcentral is "lncRNA (ENSSSCG00070011162.1)". The record is from RNAcentral. Lineage: Eukaryota; Metazoa; Chordata; Mammalia; Artiodactyla; Suidae.